UGCUGGAGUUUUGUGUGUGAGCCCAGGAUGGGGUGGACUAACAGGAAGAUGGUUGAGGAUCCGAAGCGAAAACCCCUCUUUGUCCUUACUGGCAUCUUGCUGCUUAGCUCAGCACAAGCAGGGAACAUAUACAGAACCUCAGGGCAUCGCUGCGCUGAUUUCCAGACGGCAAACUUCCUACAUGGCAGUAAGCUUAAUGUCCAGUUUCUUCUAUUCACCUCCUCCAGCCCUAGCUGUGGGGAGCUAAUUUUGGCUGAUGAUGACAUCAAGAACUCCAGCUUCAAUAGCAGCCUGGAAACGAAGAUAAUAAUCCAUGGGUUCAGAGCGUUGGGUACAAAACCUUCCUGGAUUGAAGGGCUUGUCCAUGCAAUAUUGCACAUAAGUCAGGUAAAUGUGAUUGCAGUGGACUGGGUUCACGGGGCUACAGGAGCCUAUAACUCGGCAGUGGAAAACGUCACACAGGUGGCCCUCUUCAUCACAAGCUUCAUCAGCAAGCUCCUGGCCCUGGGAGUCUCUGCAACAUCCAUUCACAUUAUCGGUGUGAGCCUUGGUGCACAUGUUGGGGGCCUGGUUGGGCACUUCCAUGAUGGUCAGCUGGGACAGAUAACAGGCCUGGAUCCUGCAGGCCCUAAAUACACCAGAGCCAGCCUGGAAGAACGCCUGGACCCUGGGGAUGCCCUCUUUGUGGAAGCCAUUCAUACCGAUGCUGACAAUUUUGGGAUCCGGAUCCCUGUUGGACACAUCGAUUAUUUUGUCAAUGGAGGCAAAGAUCAGCCAGGAUGCCCCCGGUUCAUCUCUGCAGGCUACAAGUAUCUGAUCUGUGAUCACAUGAGGGCAGUACAUCUCUAUGUCAGUGCCUUGAAACAUUCCUGUCCUAUCGUGGCAUUCCCUUGCACAAGUCAUCAGGAUUUUUUGAAUGGACGAUGCGUGGACUGUGGUGAUCCCUUCCUAUUCUCCUGUCCCAGAAUAGGCCUGCUAGAGCAGGCAGUUGUCAACAUGAGAAGGCUGCCUAUGAAAGUGAACGCUUAUUUAAUGACCAGUUCUUCGGUGCCGUUCUGUGUUCACCACAGCCUCAUUGAGUUCCGCUUGCAGAAGAAAAGAAAUGUAAUCACCAGCAUUGAAAUCACUUUCUUCAGCAACAGCACCAAGGACACAACAAAGAUCACCAUGUGAGUUACAGUGCAUGCUUCUGGCUUGCUUUUUCCCAAUUCCGUGUAUAAGCAUGUUUUUCCCAGACCAGGAAAGGCACAAGGAUGGAACAUCUCCCUGAGUGCAGCCACCGUGUGAUGAACCACAGUCUUUCUUAAGUUCCUACACGUUUACCUUAAAUGCUUUCAAGAGUCAGUGAAGCAAAAGCAGAUCCAAGCAGCCCUGAAAACUCAGAAGCCAGAUCUGCCUUCUCCAAAGGUGUGGGAAGGAGGAAAUAGCAACACCCAGGUCAAGUCAGGACCCACAAUUUGUUCAAGAAGACAUGCAGCACUUCCUUUUGCAGCUGUCAGACACAGCAUUUGUCACGUGUGCAGCAGGAGACAUGAGCCCUGGAGAGAAAUCUGCCUGGGAAGUGAGACAGCCAGGCAAUCCCAAGGCUUUACUGUACCCUCCCGUUUUAGUGAGACAGUAGAGUUACAGCUAUCCAGGGACACCCUUGCCCUGAAAGACAGCAGCUGUGCUUCACUUAAGUGCCCACUUAAGAAUCACAGGAGUUGGAAGGACCUCAGGAGAUCAUCAAAUCCAAACCCUACCUAAAGCAGAUUCCAUGCAAUAGGUCACACAGGUAGAAGUCCAGACGCCAUUAGCCUACACAUGCUGCUCACUGUGUCCCCAAGAGAUGAGUCCUCAAGCCUGACAGCUGUCACAGGGCUGACAGAGUAAGGAGAGUUUUACAUGGCAUAUUUCCCUGCUGCACUCGUAUUGCUUAUGUACCACGUUAUGUAACAUGGCCUCACCCCCACACCCAAGAAAACAUAGUUCUGAAGUUAGCCAGAGUCCUACAUGCGCCCAAAGGCAGCGUAGGCUUUGACAAAAUGUCAGUCCCAGUAGUGAAUUUCUUCAGUCUAAUUAAUUGUGCUCCUCUGUCCUACGGCAUGGCUGGGUCCUGUCCACGCACAAUAUACUGUAAAGGGACAGUCUCUUCUCAGUUUGUUUUCCAUCUAUGAUCCAUCAUUCACCUUUAUAGCCACAAUUUAAUGAUGCUUCUCAUUUUGGACAGCUUCAAGCCAUACACAUAAAACUCCAGCAUCUACCACUGCAGUCUAAGAAGAGAACUGGAUGCACUGGUUUGGAUUGGCUGCUCUGGCCUGGGAGGACAUUGAGUCCAGCCAUCAGCCUGAUGCUCAACUUAUUUUGGUUACCAGAAUUGUAGACUCUUCCUGAUCCCUUUGUCAUCUCUUCCCUUUGUCAUGUUUCUGAGCAGACAGUCACCAAAUGCUUUUUGGAUUUCACCGACUCCACUACACACAUUAUUAACCAAUACAAGGGAAUAGGUGCCUAGUAGGUCAGGCAUAAGAUGCCCUAUAGGACAGACUCCAUGGAAGGGGGCAGCCCACCUAGUAAAACAGCUGGGCAGCAUCACUUCAGGGCAUACAGCCUGCCACCUUGGCUCUGGAAAUCACUGCUCUGGAUUUCCUUUGUUCACAUUAUGUGGUGAUGAGCUUAAGGACAGGCAAAGUUUCAUCUAUCCAAGCAUCUCACCUUCAACACAGCCUAAAGUAAAUACCUUGAGUAGAGCAUAAAUAAGCAGUGUAGGCAUGCAGCAAUGAUUCCUGAAGGUAAUGUCCCUAUUUCUAGCAAACACAUUUCAGGGACAUUCAGAGCUCACAUCUCUUUCCUUCCA
RNA transcript from Lagopus muta (rock ptarmigan), 2833 nucleotides. It is a transcript of the gene named phospholipase A1 member A, with no coding region annotated. The transcript is spliced from 11 exons. The record is from RefSeq and is a predicted model, not a curated record. NCBI's taxonomy places the organism in Eukaryota, Metazoa, Chordata, Aves, Galliformes, Phasianidae.